Molecule: long non-coding RNA, 1464 nt
Filed under: Homo sapiens (human)
Lineage: Eukaryota; Metazoa; Chordata; Mammalia; Primates; Hominidae
Description: non-protein coding lnc-RABGAP1-2:1
Source: RNAcentral
AUCUGCGCCUUGAGCCGGCUUCCUAGACGCUGGUUUGAGCGAGUGUCUUAACUCCCUUCGUGAAAAGCGUGGAAUCCAUUGAGCAGAAUCUGAUACAUCUGUGUCACAUUCUUCUUCACACUCCUGUGAUGACAUGCCGACAGGAUCCCUCAAUCCCUUUACAAAGAUGUCAAGUAAUCUCCCCAUUACAAAAACAAGAAGAAAACAUGUAUUUGGCAGGCACUUCCACAUCUCACUUCUUUAUUAAAGAGAAAACUCUGUUUCUAGACAAAGAGUCCAAAGUGGGGGGGGGAGGGGGGGAAGAAAGCUCUGAGCUCCUCAAAAGCUGGCAAAAAUAAAAAAUUUAAGCACAAAUUCUGGCAUCAUAUCUCAAAUAUUUGUUGAAGCUUUUUACACAGCGAACUAAGGUAAGAAUUAUUCUUACAGUUUAUAAUUUAUAGAUGAAACAGACUUGGAAUAGGGAUAUCAGAAUUAACAUUUAUAAACUACUUAGUAUGUGUCAGGCAGGUCCUGUGUUAGGUGAUAUUUAAUUUUAAAUAUUUUAGUUUUAUUUACAUUUCAUUUAAUUAGCAAAGUGAUCCUAGAAGACAGAUACAAUGUACCCCUUGUUACUGAUGAGAAACUAAAGAAUGUAGGCUAGAAAAUGACCAUGACGCCGGGCGCGGUGGCUGAUGCCUGUAAUACCAGCACUUUGGGAGGCCGAAGCGGGUGGACCGCCAGGUCAGAAGUUAGAGACCAGUCUGGCCAACAUAGUGAAACCCUGGCUCUACUAAAAAUACAAAAAUUAGCCGGGUGUGGUGGCGGGCACCUGUAAUCCCAGCUACUCGGGGGGCUGAGGCAGGAGAAUCACUUGAACCCGGGAGACGGAGGUUGCAGUGAGCCGAGACCGCGCCAUUGCACUACAGCCAGGCGGGGGGGCAGUGCCAGACUCCGUCUCAACAAAAAAAAGAAGAAAAAAAAUGACCAUGACUUGUAAUUAAACUCAAGGCACUUUCCAAUGUGAAAUCAGAUGCCCAACAACAAAAAUAUCGAAGUAAACCUACGAUAAAUUAGAAUAUGGAAAGGUUGCUUCUACAGUUUUAACAAAAUAUAUAGUUAUUACCUAUUAUAUUUGUCUGAAUGACAGGCAAAAAUCAGUGUUUUUGAAAAAAGAUUCAUUGGCCACAUCGAAGACGUUUCUUCCACACAUUAUCUUUUUCGUUCUCUUCUCUUUAUGAAACAUAUGCCAGGCCUAGAGAACUGUUAACAACCAAUAAUUGUUUCAGUAAUUUCAACUGGACAGUGAUAGGUAAUUUACAUGUACAUAUUUGUUUUCCACCCUACUGUGUAUAUAUAUAUAUACACACAUAUAUACAUAUAUGCACAUAUAUACAUAUAUACAUACAUAUAAAUAUAUAUACACAUAUAUAGAUACAUAUAAGUAUAUAUACACAUAUAAACAUACACAUUAUAUAUACAUAUAUG